Molecule: ribosomal RNA, 851 nt
Filed under: Carapus boraborensis (pinhead pearlfish)
Lineage: Eukaryota; Metazoa; Chordata; Actinopteri; Ophidiiformes; Carapidae
Description: partial 16S ribosomal RNA
Rfam family: Bacterial large subunit ribosomal RNA
Source: RNAcentral
CCCCCCCCCCCAUGCCGACAACUCCAUCCGAACUCUCUACCCCUACCAGACCAUUAUGUACCCAUACAUAAGUGAUUCUGCUAAUAUGAGUAAUAAGGAGGCCCAAAGGGCCCCCUCCUAGCACACGUGUACAGCGAAACGAACCCCCACCGCCACCUAACGACGCCACUACAAGAGGCAACUGGGUUACAAAUAGAACACUUAAAAGGCCACCCAGAACACGCACGUUAACCCCACACUGGAGUGCACUAAGGAAAGACUUAAUGAAGGAAAAGGAACUCGGCAAACUAAGGCCUCGCCUGUUUACCAAAAACAUCGCCUCCCGCACACAAAGAAUGGGAGGUCCCGCCUGCCCCGUGACUAUGUGUUUAACGGCCGCGGUAUAUUAACCGUGCAAAGGUAGCGCAAUCACUUGUCUCUUAAUUGGAGACCUGUAUGAAUGGCAUAACGAGGGCCUAUCUGUCUCUUUCUUCGGGUCAGUGAAAUUGAUCUUCCCGUGCAGAAGCGGGCAUAUAUACACGGGACGAGAAGACCCUGUGGAGCUUGAAACACGGGAGGACUCAAAUCAAACACCCCCCUCAAGAGGACUAACACACUGACCCUUCCUCACAUGUUUUCGGUUGGGGCGACCAAGGGAUACAGCACAACUCCCACGUGGACUGGAACACACUCCACAGCCAAAACCCACCUGUUUAAGCACCAGAAUAUCUGACCUACGGAUCCGGCAGAGCCGAUCAACGAACCAAGUUACCCCAGGGAUAACAGCGCAAUCCUUUCUUAGAGCCCUUAUCGACGAGUGGGUUUACGACCUCGAUGUUGGAUCGGGACACCCUAAUGGUGCAGCCGCUAUU